GCUUUGUGGCCCACGUGUGAUAACGUCUCUAGACUAUGAUUCUGGAGAUCAGGGUUCAAUUCCCUGCUUGAGCA
Non-coding RNA from Phrynosoma platyrhinos (Desert horned lizard), 74 nucleotides. The record is from the annotation of a GenBank genome assembly. NCBI's taxonomy places the organism in Eukaryota, Metazoa, Chordata, Lepidosauria, Squamata, Phrynosomatidae.